Molecule: long non-coding RNA, 358 nt
Organism: Oncorhynchus tshawytscha (Chinook salmon)
Lineage: Eukaryota; Metazoa; Chordata; Actinopteri; Salmoniformes; Salmonidae
Exons: 4
Source: RefSeq, a predicted model, not a curated record
GCUGAACUAGACGAAUGAGAAAGGGGGAUGAGAGAGAGGGAGAGAGAGAGAGUGAAAGGGCCCGAGAGACAGAGUAUUGGUGGUGGUGGAGUUAAAAGACUACAAUUGACCAGUUCUUAAAGGGACAAACUCCAUGCUGGUCUGGGGAUGUCAGUUCAGGUCACAUGAUGCAGGGAUGUACUUAAUUGACUGUGGGGAACCCGAACCGUUGCUGAAUGGAGGGGUGACGUUCAUAUCUAGCUCUCAGAACCAGCAUCUCUCAGUCAUUUAGUACCACUGCAAUGAGCUGUACUACACUCUCUCUAAAAGAGUUAAUGGACCCGAGUCCUGGGACCAUGCCUCAGAACUACCUGGCCUG